AGAAAAACAAAAUCCUGCACACCGAACCGUCGCGAGCCCUUCUUCUCCCGAUUCCCCUUCUGCUCGAUCCCUAAGAGACUCGAUCCCUAACCCUACACAGCGGCGGCGCGAGGCUGGAAGAGCGGAUGGAGGAGGGCGUGGCCGACGCUGCUACGGGUGGAGGGAUGGACGGAGAGGUGGAGGAAGGCCACGGCGCUGCACCGGCCUCGUCCUCGGGCGACCAUGGCGGGCAGGCGAAGGGCGGCCAUGGCGGGAUGAAGCAAGACGGUCAAGGCGCGGCGCCGGAGGGCGGCCAUGGCGGGGAGGUGGAGGACAGGCAAGGUGCGGCGUCGGAGGGCGGCCAUGGCGGGGAGGUGGAGGGCGGUCAAGGUGCGACGGCCACAGAUGCAAGUACUCCGGCAUGGCUAGAAGGGAUGGAUCCAAACUCAACUUCUUUACUGAAAAUCAAAUUGCUUGGCAACCCCCAAAAAGCUAGGAAGGAUAUCAAAUGCUUUUGUCAUGAUAAGGUUAUUGAUUCCGACUGACAUUGCUGGUAGGCCAUGGAUUCUUCAUGUUUCCACACUGCUAAAAGCCACAGCGGGUAGGCCUAAAACUGAGAGGUAUAAAGGUUGCGGUGAGAAAAAAAGAAAAAGCGGCCAACACUUAUGCCCUAUUUGUAAGGACUAUGGGCAUCAUUGGCACAAAUUCAAGAAGGGUAACCCAGAUGACAUUGCUGCUAUUUUAGCUGUGAGGUAAUAAAUUUAAUUGCAUAACUUGCUUCACAUGCAUUCUUUUUUGUAAAAACCGUACAUGUUAACUACUUUUUUGUUUCGUGUAGAGGACCACCAAAGAAGAGGACAAAGACCACCAAAUCAGCUCAAUCAUCAAUUGUGCCUUGUGAGGAUGAUGCUCCAUCAGCCAUAUGUUUUCCGCCAAGCCAAAUCUUGGAGAAACAAAUAAGGAAAAAGGGAAAGGUGGUAAAUCUUGGACCAGGAGGAGCAAAAAGAUCAAGAACGCAACCCAUUUGUGGUGAACAUGAUGUCGCCAACAAGAAAACACAUGUUGCUGUGAACACACGAAGCAAACGAAGACUUAGUUUGUGAUUCUGAUGUGAUUACUUUCCGUAUCAUGUUUCAUUUGGAAACUUUUGAGCUGUUUAUAUGACCUGGGCACUUCUACGUACUAUAUGUAACCUUUUGUGGACCUGGACUAUUGCAUGUCACAUUUAUGUGUGUGGAGGACCAAAUAUAUGGAUUGUUUGCAUAUAUGUGUACCUGGGCCAAGUAUGUGUGAUUCUUUU
This is an RNA transcript of Triticum aestivum (bread wheat), 1279 nucleotides long. RefSeq lists it as uncharacterized. The transcript has 4 exons. The record is from RefSeq and is a predicted model, not a curated record. NCBI's taxonomy places the organism in Eukaryota, Viridiplantae, Streptophyta, Magnoliopsida, Poales, Poaceae.